This 468-nucleotide ribosomal RNA is filed under the name uncultured bacterium. RNAcentral's name for it is "partial 16S ribosomal RNA". It matches the Rfam family "Bacterial small subunit ribosomal RNA", at positions 28 to 507 of the family's 1533-position model. The record is from RNAcentral.
GACGAACGCUGGCGGCGUGCUUAACACAUGCAAGUCGAACGGAAAGGCCCUGCUUUUGUGGGGUGCUCGAGUGGCGAACGGGUGAGUAACACGUGAGUAACCUGCCCUUGACUUUGGGAUAACUUCAGGAAACUGGGGCUAAUACCGGAUAGGAGCUCCUGCUGCAUGGUGGGGGUUGGAAAGUUUCGGCGGUUGGGGAUUGACUCGCGGCUUAUCAGCUUGUUGGUGGGGUAGUGGCUUACCAAGGCUUUGACGGGUAGCCGGCCUGAGAGGGUGACCGGCCACAUUGGGACUGGGAUACGGCCCAGCCUCCUCCGGGAGGCAGCGGUGGGGAAUAUUGCAAAAUGGGCGGAAGCCUGAUGAAGCACCGCCGCGUGCGGGAUGACGGCCUUCGGGUUGUAAACCGCUUUCGCCUGUGACGAAGCGUGAGUGACGGUAAUGGGUAAAGAAGCACCGGCUAACUACGUG